This 439-nucleotide ribosomal RNA is filed under the name uncultured Leisingera sp. RNAcentral describes it as "bacterial SSU rRNA". It matches the Rfam family "Bacterial small subunit ribosomal RNA", at positions 97 to 570 of the family's 1533-position model. The record is from RNAcentral. Lineage: Bacteria; Pseudomonadati; Pseudomonadota; Alphaproteobacteria; Rhodobacterales; Roseobacteraceae.
GGCGGACGGGUUAGUAACGCGUUGGGAACGUGCCCUUUUCUACGGAAUAGCCUCUGGAAACGGAGAGUAAUACCGUAUACGCCCUUUGGGGGAAAGAUUUAUCGGAGAAGGAUCGGCCCGCGUUAGAUUAGGUAGUUGGUGGGGUAACGGCCUACCAAGCCUACGAUCUAUAGCUGGUUUUAGAGGAUGAUCAGCAACACUGGGACUGAGACACGGCCCAGACUCCUACGGGAGGCAGCAGUGGGGAAUCUUAGACAAUGGGGGCAACCCUGAUCUAGCCAUGCCGCGUGAGUGAUGAAGGCCUUAGGGUCGUAAAGCUCUUUCGCCUGUGAUGAUAAUGACAGUAGCAGGUAAAGAAACCCCGGCUAACUCCGUGCCAGCAGCCGCGGUAAUACGGAGGGGGUUAGCGUUGUUCGGAAUUACUGGGCGUAAAGCGCGC